RNAcentral lists this ribosomal RNA (2895 nucleotides) under Klebsiella pneumoniae. Its description in RNAcentral is "bacterial LSU rRNA". It matches the Rfam family "Bacterial large subunit ribosomal RNA". Lineage: Bacteria; Pseudomonadati; Pseudomonadota; Gammaproteobacteria; Enterobacterales; Enterobacteriaceae. The record is from RNAcentral.
UUAAGCGACUAAGCGUACACGGUGGAUGCCCUGGCAGUCAGAGGCGAUGAAGGACGUGCUAAUCUGCGAAAAGCGUCGGUAAGGUGAUAUGAACCGUUAUAACCGGCGAUGUCCGAAUGGGGAAACCCAGUGCAAUUCGUUGCACUAUCGUUAACUGAAUACAUAGGUUAACGAGGCGAACCGGGGGAACUGAAACAUCUAAGUACCCCGAGGAAAAGAAAUCAACCGAGAUUCCCCCAGUAGCGGCGAGCGAACGGGGAGCAGCCCAGAGUCUGAAUCAGCUUGUGUGUUAGUGGAACGGUCUGGAAAGUCCGACGGUACAGGGUGAUAGUCCCGUACACCAAAAUGCACAGGCUGUGAACUCGAAGAGUAGGGCGGGACACGUGGUAUCCUGUCUGAAUAUGGGGGGACCAUCCUCCAAGGCUAAAUACUCCUGACUGACCGAUAGUAAACCAGUACCGUGAGGGAAAGGCGAAAAGAACCCCGGCGAGGGGAGUGAAAAGAACCUGAAACCGUGUACGUACAAGCAGUGGGAGCACCUUCGGGUGUGACUGCGUACCUUUGUAUAAUGGGUCAGCGACUUAUAUUCUGUAGCAAGGUUAACCGUAUAGGGGAGCCGCAGGAAACCGAGUCUUAACUGGGCGUUAAGUUGCAGGGUAUAGACCCGAAACCCGGUGAUCUAGCCAUGGGCAGGUUGAAGGUUGGGUAACACUAACUGGAGGACCGAACCGACUAAUGUUGAAAAAUUAGCGGAUGACUUGUGGCUGGGGGUGAAAGGCCAAUCAAACCGGGAGAUAGCUGGUUCUCCCCGAAAGCUAUUUAGGUAGCGCCUCGUGAAUUCAUCUUCGGGGGUAGAGCACUGUUUCGGCUAGGGGGUCAUCCCGACUUACCAACCCGAUGCAAACUACGAAUACCGAAGAAUGUUAUCACGGGAGACACACGGCGGGUGCUAACGUCCGUCGUGAAGAGGGAAACAACCCAGACCGCCAGCUAAGGUCCCAAAGUCAUGGUUAAGUGGGAAACGAUGUGGGAAGGCACAGACAGCCAGGAUGUUGGCUUAGAAGCAGCCAUCAUUUAAAGAAAGCGUAAUAGCUCACUGGUCGAGUCGGCCUGCGCGGAAGAUGUAACGGGGCUAAACCAUGCACCGAAGCUGCGGCAGCGACACUAUGUGUUGUUGGGUAGGGGAGCGUUCUGUAAGCCUGCGAAGGUGACCUGUGAGGGUUGCUGGAGGUAUCAGAAGUGCGAAUGCUGACAUAAGUAACGAUAAAGCGGGUGAAAAGCCCGCUCGCCGGAAGACCAAGGGUUCCUGUCCAACGUUAAUCGGGGCAGGGUGAGUCGACCCCUAAGGCGAGGCCGAAAGGCGUAGUCGAUGGGAAACAGGUUAAUAUUCCUGUACUUGGUGUUACUGCGAAGGGGGGACGGAGAAGGCUAUGUUAGCCGGGCGACGGUUGUCCCGGUUUAAGCAUGUAGGCUGGUUGUCCAGGCAAAUCCGGAUAAUCAAGGCUGAGGUGUGAUGACGAGGCACUACGGUGCUGAAGUAACAAAUGCCCUGCUUCCAGGAAAAGCCUCUAAGCAUCAGGUAACAUUAAAUCGUACCCCAAACCGACACAGGUGGUCAGGUAGAGAAUACCAAGGCGCUUGAGAGAACUCGGGUGAAGGAACUAGGCAAAAUGGUGCCGUAACUUCGGGAGAAGGCACGCUGGUGUGUAGGUGAAGUCCCUGCGGAUGGAGCUGAGACCAGUCGAAGAUACCAGCUGGCUGCAACUGUUUAUUAAAAACACAGCACUGUGCAAACACGAAAGUGGACGUAUACGGUGUGACGCCUGCCCGGUGCCGGAAGGUUAAUUGAUGGGGUUAUCCGUAAGGAGAAGCUCUUGAUCGAAGCCCCGGUAAACGGCGGCCGUAACUAUAACGGUCCUAAGGUAGCGAAAUUCCUUGUCGGGUAAGUUCCGACCUGCACGAAUGGCGUAAUGAUGGCCAGGCUGUCUCCACCCGAGACUCAGUGAAAUUGAACUCGCUGUGAAGAUGCAGUGUACCCGCGGCAAGACGGAAAGACCCCGUGAACCUUUACUAUAGCUUGACACUGAACAUUGAGCCUUGAUGUGUAGGAUAGGUGGGAGGCUUUGAAGCGUGGACGCCAGUCUGCGUGGAGCCAACCUUGAAAUACCACCCUUAAUGUUUGAUGUUCUAACGUUGGCCCCUGACCGGGGUUGCGGACAGUGUCUGGUGGGUAGUUUGACUGGGGCGGUCUCCUCCCAAAGCGUAACGGAGGAGCACGAAGGUUAGCUAAUCCUGGUCGGACAUCAGGAGGUUAGUGCAAUGGCAUAAGCUAGCUUGACUGCGAGCGUGACGGCGCGAGCAGGUGCGAAAGCAGGUCAUAGUGAUCCGGUGGUUCUGAAUGGAAGGGCCAUCGCUCAACGGAUAAAAGGUACUCCGGGGAUAACAGGCUGAUACCGCCCAAGAGUUCAUAUCGACGGCGGUGUUUGGCACCUCGAUGUCGGCUCAUCACAUCCUGGGGCUGAAGUAGGUCCCAAGGGUAUGGCUGUUCGCCAUUUAAAGUGGUACGCGAGCUGGGUUUAGAACGUCGUGAGACAGUUCGGUCCCUAUCUGCCGUGGGCGCUGGAGAAUUGAGGGGGGCUGCUCCUAGUACGAGAGGACCGGAGUGGACGCAUCACUGGUGUUCGGGUUGUCAUGCCAAUGGCACUGCCCGGUAGCUAAAUGCGGAAGAGAUAAGUGCUGAAAGCAUCUAAGCACGAAACUUGCCCCGAGAUGAGUUCUCCCUGAGACUUUAAGUCUCCUGAAGGAACGUUGAAGACGACGACGUUGAUAGGCCGGGUGUGUAAGCGCAGCGAUGCGUUGAGCUAACCGGUACUAAUGAACCGUGAGGCUUAACCU